RNAcentral lists this ribosomal RNA (639 nucleotides) under Pseudomonas sp. EVA6. Its description in RNAcentral is "bacterial SSU rRNA". It matches the Rfam family "Bacterial small subunit ribosomal RNA", at positions 26 to 659 of the family's 1533-position model. Lineage: Bacteria; Pseudomonadati; Pseudomonadota; Gammaproteobacteria; Pseudomonadales; Pseudomonadaceae. The record is from RNAcentral.
GAACAGCCGUUUUNCCUGCUUACCUAACACAUGCAAGUCGAGCGGAUGAAGGGAGCUUGCUCCUGGAUUCAGCGGCGGACGGGUGAGUAAUGCCUAGGAAUCUGCCUGGUAGUGGGGGAUAACGUCCGGAAACGGGCGCUAAUACCGCAUACGUCCUGAGGGAGAAAGUGGGGGAUCUUCGGACCUCACGCUAUCAGAUGAGCCUAGGUCGGAUUAGCUAGUUGGUGGGGUAAAGGCCUACCAAGGCGACGAUCCGUAACUGGUCUGAGAGGAUGAUCAGUCACACUGGAACUGAGACACGGUCCAGACUCCUACGGGAGGCAGCAGUGGGGAAUAUUGGACAAUGGGCGAAAGCCUGAUCCAGCCAUGCCGCGUGUGUGAAGAAGGUCUUCGGAUUGUAAAGCACUUUAAGUUGGGAGGAAGGGCAGUAAGUUAAUACCUUGCUGUUUUGACGUUACCAACAGAAUAAGCACCGGCUAACUUCGUGCCAGCAGCCGCGGUAAUACGAAGGGUGCAAGCGUUAAUCGGAAUUACUGGGCGUAAAGCGCGCGUAGGUGGUUCAGCAAGUUGGAUGUGAAAUCCCCGGGCUCAACCUGGGAACUGCAUCCAAAACUACUGAGCUAGAGUACGGUAGAGGGN